RNAcentral lists this ribosomal RNA (441 nucleotides) under uncultured bacterium. RNAcentral describes it as "partial 16S ribosomal RNA". It matches the Rfam family "Bacterial small subunit ribosomal RNA", at positions 338 to 795 of the family's 1533-position model. The record is from RNAcentral.
CCUACGGGUGGCAGCAGUGGGGAAUAUUGCACAAUGGGGGAAACCCUGAAGCAGCGACGCCGCGUGAGGGAGGAAGUAUUUCGGGAUGUAAAGCUCUGUUAGCAGGGAAGAAGAAUGACGGUACCUGAAGAAGAAGCAACGGCUAAAUACGUGCCAGCAGCCGCGGUAAUACGGAUGGUGCAAGCGUUAUCCGGAUUUACUGGGUGUAAAGGGAGCGCAGGCGGUUCGUCAAGUCUGAUGUGAAAGCCCGGGGCUCAACCGCGGGACUGCAUUGGAAAAUGCGGGACUUGAGUGUCGGAGGGGUAAGCGGAAUUCCUGGUGUAGCGGUGAAAUGCGUAGAUAUCAGGAAGAACACCGGUGGCGAAGGCGGCUUACUGGACUAUGACUGACGCUGAGGCUCGAAAGCGUGGGGAGCAAACAGGAUUAGAUACCCGUGUAGUC